Molecule: ribosomal RNA, 255 nt
Filed under: uncultured bacterium
Lineage: Bacteria
Description: partial 16S ribosomal RNA
Rfam family: Bacterial small subunit ribosomal RNA
Source: RNAcentral
UACGGAGGGGAGCUAGCGUUGUUCGGAAUUACUGGGCGUAAAGCGCGCGUAGGCGGCUAUUCAAGUCAGAGGUGAAAGCCCGGGGGCUCAACCCCCGGAACUGCCUUUGAAACUAGGUAGCUAGAAUCUUGGAGAGGCGAGUGGAAUUCCGAGUGUAGAGGUGAAAUUCGUAGAUAUUCGGAAGAACACCAGUGGCGAAGGCGACUCGCUGGACAAGUAUUGACGCUGAGGUGCGAAAGCGUGGGGAGCAACAGG